RNAcentral lists this ribosomal RNA (2161 nucleotides) under human gut metagenome. RNAcentral describes it as "bacterial LSU rRNA". It matches the Rfam family "Bacterial large subunit ribosomal RNA", at positions 3 to 2461 of the family's 2925-position model. The record is from RNAcentral.
UUAAGCUAAGAAGAGCGUAGGGAGAAUGCCUUGGCAUUAGGAGCCGAUGAAGGACGUGAUAAGCUGCGAUAAGCUGCGGGGAUCAGCAAGUAUGAAUUGAUCCGCAGAUUUCCGAAUGGAGCAAUCCGUAUGUGUAUGCACAUACAUCAUAUACUGAAUCAAAUAGGUAUAUGAGGGGAACCGCCUGAACUGAAACAUCUAAGUAGGGCGAGGAAGAGAAAUCAACCGAGAUUCUGUGAGUAGUGGCGAGCGAAAGCGGAAGAGGCUAAACCAUAGGUAGCAAUACUUAUGGGGUUUCGGACAGCAUUUAGUAUUGAUAAUUUCUAGUUGAAACGUGUGGGAAAACGUACCGAAGAGUGUGAGAGUCACGUAAACGAAAGAGAAAGUCAGCGAGCUGUAUCCAAAGUACCGCGGGACACGUGAAACCCCGUGGGAAGAUGGGGGGACCAUCCUCCAAGCCUAAAUACUACCUAAUGACCGAUAGCGAAUAGUACUGUGAAGGAACGGUGAAAAGAACCCCGGGAGGGGAGUGAAAAAGAACCUGAAACCCUAUGCUUACAAGCACCGAGAGCACGUCAAAGUGUGAUCGGGUACCUUUUGUAGAAUGGUCCGGCGAGUUAUUGUAUGCGGCAAGGUUAAGUGCUUAAGGCACGGAGCCGAAGCGAGAGCAAGUCUGAACAGGGCGAAAAAGUCGUAUGCAAUAGACCCGAAACCGAGUGACCUAUCCAUGUCCAGGCUGAAGUGGAGGUAAAACUCCAUGGAGGGCCGAACACACGUCCGUUGAAAAGGCCGGUGAUGAGGUGUGGAUAGCGGAGAAAUUCCAAUCGAACUCGGAUAUAGCUGGUUCUCUCCGAAAUAGCUUUAGGGCUAGCCUCGUGAAAGAUUACUGGAGGUAAAGCACUGAAUGGGCUAGGGGUCGAAAGAUUACUGAACCCUAUCAAACUAAGAAUGCCAGAUAAUUGAUUCACGGGAGUCAGACAAUGUGAGAUAAGUCUCAUUGUCAAAAGGGAAACAGCCCAGACCCACAGCUAAGGUCCCUAAACAUUGUUAAGUGGAAAAGGAUGUGGGGUUGCAUAAACAACCAGGAUGUUGGCUUAGAAGCAGCCACUCAUUAAAAGAGUGCGUAAUAGCUCACUGGUCGAGUGACCCUGCGCCGAAAAUUCAACGGGGCUAAACAAUGUACCGAAGCUUGGGAUUCUAAAGUAAUUUAGAGUGGUAGGAGAGCGUUGAAUAAGGGGUGAAGUCAGAGCGGAAGCGCUGGUGGACUUUAUUCGAGUGAGAAUGCCGGAAUGAGUAGCGAGAAUUAUGUGAGAAUCAUAAUGGCCGAAAAUCUAAGGUUUCCUGAGGAAGGUUCGUCCGCUCAGGGUAAGCCGGGGGCUAAGGCGAGGCGGAGACGCGUAGCCGAUGCACAUACGGUUGAAAUUCCGUAGCCACCGAAAGAUUUAAGUACAGGGACGCUUUAGAAGUGAUGUUGCCGGGCGAUGGUUGACCCGGUCGUAAGGGAUCGAAAAUGAGUAGAGAAGUCAUCAUGGAAAGAGACAAGAAAAGCUGUAUGGAUAUUUUAGGUGCCCGUACCGCAAACCGACACAGGUAGAUAGGAAGAAGAUUCUAAGGCCAACGGGAGAAGGGUUGUUAAGGAACUCGGCAAGUUGACCCCGUAACUUAGGGAUAAGGGGUGCUCAAGUGAUUGAGCCGCAGAGAAUAGGCCCAGGCGACUGUUUAGCAAAAACACAGGUCUCUGCUAAAUCGAAAGAUGACGUAUAGGGGCUGACACCUGCCCGGUGCCGGAAGGUUAAGAGGAGAUGUGAGAGCAUUGAAUUGAAGCCCCGGUAAACGGCGGCCGUAACUAUAACGGUCCUAAGGUAGCGAAAUUCCUUGUCAGGUAAGUUCUGACCCGCACGAAAGGUGUAACGGAAUUCUAACCUGCGGCUUUGAAGCAAGUCGGGGGACAUUGUUAGGUGGGCAGUUUGACUGGGGCGGUCGCCUCCUAAAGAGUAACGGAGGCGCUCAAAGGUUCGCUCUGCAUGGAUGGAAACCAUGCGUCAGAGUGUAAACGCAAAAGCGAGCCUAACUGCGAGAAUGACGGUUCGAGCAGUAACGAAAGUUGGAGUUAGUGAUCCGGCGGUAUGUGAAUGGAAAUGCCGUCGCUCAACGGAUAAAA